This 2942-nucleotide ribosomal RNA is filed under the name Salmonella enterica subsp. enterica serovar Typhimurium. Its description in RNAcentral is "bacterial LSU rRNA". It matches the Rfam family "Bacterial large subunit ribosomal RNA". The record is from RNAcentral. Lineage: Bacteria; Pseudomonadati; Pseudomonadota; Gammaproteobacteria; Enterobacterales; Enterobacteriaceae.
GGGUUGUGAGGUUAAGCGACUAAGCGUACACGGUGGAUGCCCUGGCAGUCAGAGGCGAUGAAGGGCGUGCUAAUCUGCGAUAAGCGCCGGUAAGGUGAUAUGAACCGUUAUAACCGGCGAUACCCGAAUGGGGAAACCCAGUGUGAUUCGUCACACUAUCAUUAACUGAAUCCAUAGGUUAAUGAGGCGAACCGGGGGAACUGAAACAUCUAAGUACCCCGAGGAAAAGAAAUCAACCGAGAUUCCCCCAGUAGCGGCGAGCGAACGGGGAGGAGCCCAGAGCCUGAAUCAGCAUGUGUGUUAGUGGAAGCGUCUGGAAAGGCGCGCGAUACAGGGUGACAGCCCCGUACACAAAAGCGCAUGUGCUGUGAGCUCGAUGAGUAGGGCGGGACACGUGGUAUCCUGUCUGAAUAUGGGGGGACCAUCCUCCAAGGCUAAAUACUCCUGACUGACCGAUAGUGAACCAGUACCGUGAGGGAAAGGCGAAAAGAACCCCGGCGAGGGGAGUGAAAAAGAACCUGAAACCGUGUACGUCACAAGCAGUGGGAGCCCCACCACUAAGCCAGUGGUGAACUCCACAUCCGCAUCCUUUGCUGAGGAUACGGUUAACGGAGCGAAAGCGACGUUCAACCGCAAAACAAGCAGAGGGGGCUUAGUGGUGGGGUGACUGCGUACCUUUUGUAUAAUGGGUCAGCGACUUAUAUUCUGUAGCAAGGUUAACCGAAUAGGGGAGCCGGAGGGAAACCGAGUCUUAAUUGGGCGUUAAGUUGCAGGGUAUAGACCCGAAACCCGGUGAUCUAGCCAUGGGCAGGUUGAAGGUUGGGUAACACUAACUGGAGGACCGAACCGACUAAUGUUGAAAAAUUAGCGGAUGACCUGUGGCUGGGGGUGAAAGGCCAAUCAAACCGGGAGAUAGCUGGUUCUCCCCGAAAGCUAUUUAGGUAGCGCCUCGUGAAUUCAUCUCCGGGGGUAGAGCACUGUUUCGGCUAGGGGGCCAUCCCGGCUUACCAACCCGAUGCAAACUGCGAAUACCGGAGAAUGUUAUCACGGGAGACACACGGCGGGUGCUAACGUCCGUCGUGAAGAGGGAAACAACCCAGACCGCCAGCUAAGGUCCCAAAGUCAUGGUUAAGUGGGAAACGAUGUGGGAAGGCCCAGACAGCCAGGAUGUUGGCUUAGAAGCAGCCAUCAUUUAAAGAAAGCGUAAUAGCUCACUGGUCGAGUCGGCCUGCGCGGAAGAUGUAACGGGGCUAAACCAUGCACCGAAGCUGCGGCAGCGAACGUAUCACUUAAAGCGAUUCAGCGGGUUACGAUUGACGGAGCGAAGCGACGUCAAAGCGUAUACAAAGUCGAGUCGGUUUAAGGAUACGUUCGUUGGGUAGGGGAGCGUUCUGUAAGCCCGUGAAGGUGGCCUGUGAGGGUUGCUGGAGGUAUCAGAAGUGCGAAUGCUGACAUAAGUAACGAUAAAGCGGGUGAAAAGCCCGCUCGCCGGAAGACCAAGGGUUCCUGUCCAACGUUAAUCGGGGCAGGGUGAGUCGACCCCUAAGGCGAGGCCGAAAGGCGUAGUCGAUGGGAAACGGGUUAAUAUUCCCGUACUUGGUGUUACUGCGAAGGGGGGACGGAGAAGGCUAUGUUGGCCGGGCGACGGUUGUCCCGGUUUAAGCGUGUAGGUGUGUGUUCCAGGUAAAUCCGGUUCACUUUAACACUGAGGCGUGACGACGAGGCACUACGGUGCUGAAGCAACAAAUGCCCUGCUUCCAGGAAAAGCCUCUAAGCAUCAGGUAACACGAAAUCGUACCCCAAACCGACACAGGUGGUCAGGUAGAGAAUACCAAGGCGCUUGAGAGAACUCGGGUGAAGGAACUAGGCAAAAUGGUGCCGUAACUUCGGGAGAAGGCACGCUGACACGUAGGUGAAGUGAUUUACUCAUGGAGCUGAAGUCAGUCGAAGAUACCAGCUGGCUGCAACUGUUUAUUAAAAACACAGCACUGUGCAAACACGAAAGUGGACGUAUACGGUGUGACGCCUGCCCGGUGCCGGAAGGUUAAUUGAUGGGGUCAGCGCAAGCGAAGCUCCUGAUCGAAGCCCCGGUAAACGGCGGCCGUAACUAUAACGGUCCUAAGGUAGCGAAAUUCCUUGUCGGGUAAGUUCCGACCUGCACGAAUGGCGUAAUGAUGGCCAGGCUGUCUCCACCCGAGACUCAGUGAAAUUGAACUCGCUGUGAAGAUGCAGUGUACCCGCGGCAAGACGGAAAGACCCCGUGAACCUUUACUAUAGCUUGACACUGAACAUUGAGCCUUGAUGUGUAGGAUAGGUGGGAGGCUUUGAAGUGUGGACGCCAGUCUGCAUGGAGCCGACCUUGAAAUACCACCCUUUAAUGUUUGAUGUUCUAACGUGGACCCGUAAUCCGGGUUGCGGACAGUGUCUGGUGGGUAGUUUGACUGGGGCGGUCUCCUCCUAAAGAGUAACGGAGGAGCACGAAGGUUGGCUAAUCCUGGUCGGACAUCAGGAGGUUAGUGCAAUGGCAUAAGCCAGCUUGACUGCGAGCGUGACGGCGCGAGCAGGUGCGAAAGCAGGUCAUAGUGAUCCGGUGGUUCUGAAUGGAAGGGCCAUCGCUCAACGGAUAAAAGGUACUCCGGGGAUAACAGGCUGAUACCGCCCAAGAGUUCAUAUCGACGGCGGUGUUUGGCACCUCGAUGUCGGCUCAUCACAUCCUGGGGCUGAAGUAGGUCCCAAGGGUAUGGCUGUUCGCCAUUUAAAGUGGUACGCGAGCUGGGUUUAGAACGUCGUGAGACAGUUCGGUCCCUAUCUGCCGUGGGCGCUGGAGAACUGAGGGGGGCUGCUCCUAGUACGAGAGGACCGGAGUGGACGCAUCACUGGUGUUCGGGUUGUCAUGCCAAUGGCACUGCCCGGUAGCUAAAUGCGGAAGAGAUAAGGACUGA